CCCGGACGGUGACGUAGCGGGGCUUUGUGAAUCCCAGGCUGAAGUUUGGUUGAGUCACAGGAGGGGCGCAGGAGCCACCGCAAAGGAACGGCAACACGUUGUACCAGGGACAAAGGGACAUCGGCACUGAAGCCAGGAGAUGAAGCCUAUUCUCCACAGGGGACAGCCACACUGUGGCUGUGACAGCGCUGGGACAACUCACCUCUCGGCAGCCCGCAGGAGGUAACCGUGGAGGACCUGCUGGGAGACAAGGGGUCCUGCUCUCUGGGCAGCACCGAGUCAGGGCAACGCUGCAGGCGAGCAGUUGUGGACCGUGCAGAACUGUGACGACACGAACCGCAGGACACAGGCUGGGGAGUUGGAACCCUGCUAAGGCCCUUGGCACAGCCUUCCCAGGGAAUGCAAAGGAAGUUCAGCACAAAGGUUAGUGGCAGAAUGAGCAUGUUUCCUCUUGUUUUGAGAGCAAGGGGAGCGGGGAGAAAAAAAGAAGGAAAAAAAAAAAAGAAAACAUUACAGCUACAAGCCAGGCAGAUACUGAAUGUGUAAAACCAAGGGGACAGAUGGCUCAAAAGGGAUCUCAUUUCCCUGGUUUUCCUGCUGUAAAAAUAAAUCACUACUGAAAAAUAUUCAUGCCGUAUCACAUAGUUAAGCCUUAUAAUAAAUCUUUAGCUCUUAUUCCUCAAAUCCUUCCUUACUCAGUAAAUCUGCUGAAGUCACCAGGAUUCCUCAGGUGAGAAAUGAUGUACAAGAAUGGAACAUUUAUUAGAUACC
Molecule: long non-coding RNA, 771 nt
Organism: Dromaius novaehollandiae (emu)
Lineage: Eukaryota; Metazoa; Chordata; Aves; Casuariiformes; Dromaiidae
Exons: 3
Source: RefSeq, a predicted model, not a curated record